GCGGCCAUCGAUCAAUGGUAGGUCUACUGUCUUCCAAACAGAUGAUGUCGGUUCAAGUCCGACUGACCGCA
RNAcentral lists this transfer RNA (71 nucleotides) under Lachnellula suecica. It matches the Rfam family "tRNA". Rfam says of the family: Transfer RNA (tRNA) molecules are approximately 80 nucleotides in length. Their secondary structure includes four short double-helical elements and three loops (D, anti-codon, and T loops). The record is from Rfam by way of RNAcentral. Lineage: Eukaryota; Fungi; Ascomycota; Leotiomycetes; Helotiales; Lachnaceae.